GACGAACGCUGGCGGCGUGCCUAACACAUGCAAGUCGAACGGAAAGGCCCUGCUUUUGUGGGGUGCUCGAGUGGCGAACGGGUGAGUAACACGUGAGUAACCUGCCCUUGACUUUGGGAUAACCUCAGGAAACUGGGGCUAAUACCGGAUAGGAGAUCUUGCUGCAUGGUGGGGGUUGGAAAGUUUCGGUGGUUGGGGAUGGACUAGCGGCUUAUCAGCUUGUUGGUGGGGUAGUGGCUUAGCAAGGCUUUGACGGGUAGCCGGCCUGGGAGGGUAGCCGGCCACAUUAGGACUGAGAUACGACCCAGACUCCAACGGUAGGCAGCGGUGGGGAGUAUUACACAAGAGGCGGGAGCCUGAUGCAACAACGCCGCGUUCGGGAAGACGUCCUUCUGGUUGGGAACCGCUGUCGCCUUUGACGAAGCGUUAAUGACGGUAAUGGGUAAAGAAGCACCGGCUAACUACGUG
Molecule: ribosomal RNA, 468 nt
Filed under: uncultured bacterium
Lineage: Bacteria
Description: partial 16S ribosomal RNA
Rfam family: Bacterial small subunit ribosomal RNA
Source: RNAcentral